Non-coding RNA from Podarcis lilfordi (Lilford's wall lizard), 814 nucleotides. Lineage: Eukaryota; Metazoa; Chordata; Lepidosauria; Squamata; Lacertidae. The record is from the annotation of a GenBank genome assembly.
GACAGACCCACGCCUGCCCCACUGCGCUGCUAGAAUUUCAUGUGACCUGUUCCUUCCGCACCUCGCUAAUUCCAUUCAAAGGGAAACAGUGGGGCGCUCAGCACAGCAGGAAGGGAACCAGAGGCUGCAUUCGUUACCGCAAUUAGCGAGGAGGCGAGAAGCAAGUUUUCUGCAGUGAUGACACCCUAGCAGAGCUCCACAGCGAGGUCUACGUUCUCCUCAAAACUCCUGCCGGGCUGGUUCUCUCAAACAAGUCAACUAUGGCCCCUCUGUGCCACAUUCCGCAAACGGCUAUGGCGGACCACCUUUUUAUACCAGAUAUUCGGGGCUCUUCCAACAGUGGUUUUGCAGCAUGGACACCCCUCCAGGUCAGUUGCCACCUCUGCCACACACCACUCUAGUAGGCACAGGCAGAAGGUAUUUGCCAAUGGGACCCUCCUACUUUUGCCACAGAGUGCCAGACCUACCCCUCCAGACUCCACAUCUCAGUAGAAAGAAAGCCAAUUCCAAAUGGCAGAGUUGGGAGUAUCAUGUGUGCGUGCGUGCGUGUGUGUGUGUGUGUGUGUGUUAGGGGUGCCCUUGCUCAUCUCACACCUCAAGCCACUGCGCGUUUGUGUCUCUCUCUCCCUCAAGGACCAACUUGAAGCAAGGGGAGAGGAACACAAUUCCAGUUCCCUCUCUCCCGAGGAAAUGAACUCCAUUAGAAUCUCGUUCCCACCAGGCAUGAUGGGAUAUGUAGUCGUGCAAGCUCUCCUCAAUGGGACUGGGGUGCUCGGCUGAGGAGCAUCUUGUCUUUGUUGCAUGCCAUUUCACA